Molecule: unclassified non-coding RNA, 370 nt
Filed under: Artemisia sosnovskyi
Lineage: Eukaryota; Viridiplantae; Streptophyta; Magnoliopsida; Asterales; Asteraceae
Description: partial external transcribed spacer
Source: RNAcentral
UUUGGUUUGUUACGUGUGGUUGGCUGCGGCGUUUGCAACAACUUCCAUGCUCUCAGACCUCUUCAGUUGUGCGGCAAGGCUUGUAUCGCCUUGAGCGUAUCGUGGGUUUUCUGUGUUGGCUACCUAAUCGACGGUAUCGUUUGGACUGAUCAAAGUGUGAUUUCGUCUUCCGUCGCGUUCGCGGCGUGAGGUGAACCUUGACGCGGUCUCUUUGAUCCAUCUCGUCGAAGCANAUGCUUUGACGUUGUGGCACAUUGNGCAUUGCUUGGUCUCUUGUGUACGGAACACGUAGCGGGCAUGGAUCUAACGAUUCUUGUUUGCCCUCAUAUUAGCGUAACGCUUCUCAAACACGACUUGCAUCGCGUUUUAG